GAGUGAUGGUAUCUUACCAGAAAGUCACGGCUAACUACGUGCCAGCAGCCGCGGUAAUACGUAGGGUGGCGAGCGGUUAUCCGGAAUGAUUUGGGCGUAAAGGGUGCGUAGGUGGCAGAUCAAGUCAGCUGUGAAAAAUAUGGGGCUUAACUUGUAGACUGCAGUUGAAACUGGUAUUCUUGAGUGAAGUAGAGGUUGGCGGAAUUCCGAGUGUAGCGGUGAAAUGCGUAGAUAUUCGGAGGAACACCGGUGGCGAAGGCGGCCAACUGGGCUUUAACUGACGCUGAGGCGCGAAAGCUGGGGGAGCGAACAGGAUUAGAUACCCUGGUAGUCCACACUGUAAACGAUGAUAACUAGGUGUGGGGGGUCUGACCCCUUCCGUGCCGCAGCUAACGCAAUAAGUUAUCCACCUGGGGAGUACGACCGCAAGGUUGAAACUCAAAGGAAUUGACGGGGACCCGCACAAGCAGUGGAUUAUGUGGUUUAAUUCGAAGCAACGCGAAGAACCUUACCAGCACUUGACAUCCGACUAACGAAGUAGAGAUACAUUAGGUGCCCUUCGGGGAAAGUCGAGACAGGUGGUGCAUGGUUGUCGUCAGCUCGUGUCGUGAGAUGUUGGGUUAAGUCCCGCAACGAGCGCAACCCCUGCCAUUAGUUGCUACGCAGGAGCACUCUAAUGGGACCGCUACCGACAAGGUGGAGGAAGGUGGGGACGACGUCAAAUCAUCAUGCCCCUUAUGUGCUGGGCUACACACGUAAUACAAUGGCCAUCAACAAAGAGAAGCAAUACCGCGAGGUGGAGCAGAACUAUAAAAAUGGUCUCAGUUCGGACUGCAGGCUGCAACCCGCCUGCACGAAGUUGGAAUUGCUAGUAAUCGUGGAUCAGCAUGCCACGGUGAAUACGUUCCCGGGUCUUGCACACACCGCCCGUCA
Molecule: ribosomal RNA, 933 nt
Filed under: uncultured bacterium
Lineage: Bacteria
Description: bacterial SSU rRNA
Rfam family: Bacterial small subunit ribosomal RNA
Source: RNAcentral